AGUAUUUUGACUAUACAAAGGUAUUGAAAUAAGACUUUAAUUGAGUGCUAAGAGAAUGGAAUUUCAUAAAAUUUCUUUUUUAAUUUUAAAAAUUGAAAUUAAUUUUAUAUGUGAAGAAACAAUAAUAAAAAUUAAGGACAAGAAGACCCUAAGAAUUUUAAAAAUUUCAAUAAAAUGCUGUAUUUUAUUGAAAUUUUUUAAUUGGGGCGAUUAUUAAAUAUUAAAAACUUUAAUUUUUUUAAAAAAGAACCAAUAAUAUUGGUUAUUUGAAAAAAUACUCUAGGGAUAACAGCGUAAUAAUUUUUGAUAGUUCUUAUAGACAAAAUAGUUUGCGACCUCGAUGUUGGAUUAGGAUUCUUUUUUAAUGAAGAAGUUAAAAAAAGAAGUUUGUUCAACUUUUAAAAUCCUA
Molecule: ribosomal RNA, 409 nt
Filed under: Amblyomma maculatum (Gulf Coast tick)
Lineage: Eukaryota; Metazoa; Arthropoda; Arachnida; Ixodida; Ixodidae
Description: partial 16S ribosomal RNA
Source: RNAcentral